Molecule: ribosomal RNA, 468 nt
Filed under: uncultured bacterium
Lineage: Bacteria
Description: partial 16S ribosomal RNA
Rfam family: Bacterial small subunit ribosomal RNA
Source: RNAcentral
GACGAACGCUGGCGGCGUGCUUAACACAUGCAAGUCGAACGGAAAGGCCCUGCUUUUGUGGGGUGCUCGAGUGGCGAACGGGUGAGUAACACGUGAGUAACCUGCCCUUGACUUUGGGAUAACUUCAUGAAACUGGGGCUAAUACCGGAUAGGCGCUCCUGCUGCAUGGUGGGGGUUGGAAAGUUUCGGCGGUUGGGGAUGGACUCGCGGCUUAUCAGCUUGUUGGUGGGGUAGUGGCUUACCAAGGCUUUGACGGGUAGCCGGCCUGAGAGGGUGACGGGCCACAGUGGGACUGAGAUACGGCCCAGACUCCUACGGGAGGCAGCAGUGGGGAAUAUUGCACAAUGGGCGGAAGCCUGAUGCAGCAACGCCGCGUGCGGGAUGACGGCCUUCGGGUUGUAAACCGCUUUCGCCUGUGACGAAGCGUGAGUGACGGUAAUGGGUAAAGAAGCACCGGCUAAGUACGUG